RNAcentral lists this ribosomal RNA (468 nucleotides) under uncultured bacterium. Its description in RNAcentral is "partial 16S ribosomal RNA". It matches the Rfam family "Bacterial small subunit ribosomal RNA", at positions 28 to 507 of the family's 1533-position model. The record is from RNAcentral.
GACGAACGCUGGCGGCGUGCUUAACACAUGCAAGUCGAACGGAAAGGCCCUGCUUUUGUGGGGUGCUCGAGUGGCGAACGGGUGAGUAACACGUGAGUAACCUGCCCUUGACUUUGGGAUAACUUCAGGAAACUGGGGCUAAUACCGGAUAGGAGCUCCUGCUGCAUGGUGGGGGUUGGAAAGUUUCGGCGGUUGGGGAUGGACUCGCGGCUUAUCAGCUUGUUGGUGGGGUAGUGGCUUACCAAGGCUUUGACGGGUAGCCGGCCUGAGAGGGUGACCGGCCACAUUGGGACUGAGAUACGGCCCAGACUCCUACGGGAGGCAGCAGUGGGGAAUAUUGAACAAAGGGCGGAAGCCUGAUGCAGCAACGCCGCGUGCGGGAUGACGGCCUUCAGGUUGUAAGCCGCUUUCGCCUGUGACGAAGCGUGAGUGACGGUAAUGGGUAAAGAAGCACCGGCUAACUACGUG